CCCUCGGUAGCUCAGUUGGAAGAGCGUGGGACUGUAAUUGGAUUCGAACCAAAAUCCCAAGGUCACUGGUUCGAACCCGGUCUGAGGGA
Molecule: non-coding RNA, 89 nt
Organism: Ceratobasidium sp. 394
Lineage: Eukaryota; Fungi; Basidiomycota; Agaricomycetes; Cantharellales; Ceratobasidiaceae
Source: the annotation of a GenBank genome assembly